RNAcentral lists this transfer RNA (72 nucleotides) under Clostridia bacterium. Its description in RNAcentral is "tRNA-Met". It matches the Rfam family "tRNA". Rfam says of the family: Transfer RNA (tRNA) molecules are approximately 80 nucleotides in length. Their secondary structure includes four short double-helical elements and three loops (D, anti-codon, and T loops). Lineage: Bacteria; Bacillati; Bacillota; Clostridia. The record is from RNAcentral.
CGCGGGAUAGAGCAGAGGUAGCUUGCAAGGCUCAUUACCUUGAGGUCGGGGGUUCGAUUCCCUCUCCCGCUA